This 254-nucleotide ribosomal RNA is filed under the name uncultured bacterium. RNAcentral's name for it is "partial 16S ribosomal RNA". It matches the Rfam family "Bacterial small subunit ribosomal RNA", at positions 524 to 776 of the family's 1533-position model. The record is from RNAcentral.
GACGAACCGUGCGACCGUUGUUCGGAUUCACUGGGCUUAAAGGGCGCGUAGGCGGUCGUGACAAGUCACUUGUGAAAUCUCCGGGCUUAACUCGGAACGGUCAAGUGAUACUGUCGGACUAGAGUACAGAAGGGGCAACUGGAAUUCUCGGUGUAGCGGUGAAAUGCGUAGAUAUCGAGAGGAACACCUGCGGCGAAGGCGGGUUGCUGGGCUGAUACUGACGCUGAUGCGCGAAAGCCAGGGGAGCGAACGGG